GUUGUAGAGUUCGCUGAAGGGGCCAAUGCCGUGGUGUUGUUUCCAAGUGUCUGAUUGCUUUUCGCACUGUAAAACAUAGAGAAUUCGAUACAAAAGAGGUGAGCUUGAUUCAUAUGGAUAUUCAAAAUUUUAAUCCUUUGUGAGAAGAAGAAGAAUAAGAAUGUUACCUUCCAGGGAACACGCAUGUUCCUCGACCUGCAGAGACAAUCAGAAGAACACAAAGUCCAUUUUCAGAUACAGAGGCAAUAGGUAUUCACAUUUGCAAAGAGGUGAACGGUAAUGUUGAGAGAUUCACAUACUUGGAUCAGUUGUAGUGACUGUAGCAACUCCCUUGAAAUCACAGCUUCCUGAAGCUUUCCCCAUCUUCUGGUAAUAAGCAUUAAACGCAUAAGUAGAAUGUGCAACCACAUCAUCGGGUUCAUAACAGGACUCUCCCUGCAUCAGUGCGGAGCAAUC
This 456-nucleotide long non-coding RNA is filed under the name Capsella grandiflora. RNAcentral's name for it is "long non-coding RNA (CGRA_LNC000721)". Lineage: Eukaryota; Viridiplantae; Streptophyta; Magnoliopsida; Brassicales; Brassicaceae. The record is from RNAcentral.